CAGCGCCGCGGGAAUACGUAGGGUGCAAGCGUUAAUCGGAAUUACUGGGCGUAAAGCGUGCGCAGGCGGUUAUAUAAGACAGAUGUGAAAUCCCCGGGCUCAACCUGGGAACUGCAUUUGUGACUGUAUAGCUAGAGUACGGCAGAGGGGGAUGGAAUUCCGCGUGUAGCAGUGAAAUGCGUAGAUAUGCGGAGGAACACCGAUGGCGAAGGCAAUCCCCUGGGCCUGUACUGACGCUCAUGCACGAAAGCGUGGGGAGCAAACAGGAUUAGAUACCCCCGUAGUCCCUGUCUCUUAUACC
Molecule: ribosomal RNA, 301 nt
Filed under: uncultured bacterium
Lineage: Bacteria
Description: partial 16S ribosomal RNA
Rfam family: Bacterial small subunit ribosomal RNA
Source: RNAcentral